UGGGGAAUAUUGCACAAUGGGGAAAGCCCUGAUGCAGCGACGCCGCGUGAGUGAAGAAGUAUCUCGGUAUGUAAAGCUCUAUCAGCAGGGAAGAAAAUGACGGUACCUGACUAAGAAGCCCCGGCUAACUACGUGCCAGCAGCCGCGGUAAUACGUAGGGGGCAAGCGUUAUCCGGAUUUACUGGGUGUAAAGGGAGCGUAGACGGCGGAGCAAGUCUGAAGUGAAAGGCAGGGGCUCAACCCCUGGACUGCAUUGGAAACUGUUGAUCUUGAGUACCGGAGGGGUAAGCGGAAUUCCUAGUGUAGCGGUGAAAUGCGUAGAUAUUAGGAGGAACACCAGUGGCGAAGGUGGCUUACUGGACGGUAACUGACGUUGAGGCUCGAAAGCGUGGGGAGCAAACAGGAUUAGAUACC
RNAcentral lists this ribosomal RNA (414 nucleotides) under uncultured bacterium. Its description in RNAcentral is "bacterial SSU rRNA". It matches the Rfam family "Bacterial small subunit ribosomal RNA", at positions 355 to 786 of the family's 1533-position model. The record is from RNAcentral.